AGAUAAUAAACACGAAUCUUACUCCACUGGAAACUCUUAUCCCAUACUAAUCUCGCUAUUUUUCAGCUGAUCCAUGGAGUAAUAUCAGAGUAUGGUACAUCAAAUUCCGAGCUCUUGAGAGAAAGAAUUGAAUGCGAUGAGAAUUCUGGAAAAUGUUGACUGGCCGGCUUCCAUUUUGGAUUUAUUUGUUAAACCCAGAGAAAGUCCUGCUGUCAAUCUGAGUGAAGAACUUGUACCGAUGCAUAUGAGCCAAAAGAAGGCCUCCAAAGAUGGUUCGCAUGGCUAAUCUCUCUCAUGGGUGGUCAUGCCGUAAAUGUUGCGAAGAUUCAUAGCGAAUUUGUAAAGGAGGUGUUUAAAUGACUUCUAUAAGUUAAACCAAAACUUACUUUAUGCACUGUGGCCGCUUUCAAAAGCUGGGGGACUAUUUUGAUUGUGACAUUCUGUGAUGGUGCAAGUGAUGCAGUAACCUAGUCUCCUGUUCUGGAUAUAUUGAUCAGGAAUGCUGGUAAUUGCUGCUGCUUGGAUGGAUCUAGAUUCCAUUGCUUUGAUGGUCAUGCAGUCUAUCUUGGGUUCGUAAACUAAACAUGCAGGUGGCAGGAAGUACAUGGGGCGAGCUGUUGACCAUCAUUUCUUGGAUUUCAAUAACUCAAUGUGAUAUUGGCUUAUGGCAUAACUUGGACGACCUGUAUGGACUAGUUUGGACAAUUUGUAUACAGUUCUGAGCUUGCUAAAAGGGAUUGCAUAAAUGAGAUUGCUGAAAGCAUGAUGGUGUGUAACACCAACUAUAUGGACACUGGUCUUUUUGGUGUUGCCAAGGUGCGGACAGAAACCAGUCCAGAGGAUGUUGGAGGCAUGCAUGUGCUGCUGGGAUAUUUACAGCUAGAGGAGGCACGACAUCUCAUGCAGCUGUUGUAGCCUGUGGGUGGGGAAAGUGUUGCAUUGCAGGUUGUGCUGAUAUUCGAGCCAAUGAUUCCGAGAAGGUGGUUGUCAUCGGAGACAAGGUUAUUGGGGAAGGUAACUGGAUUUCACUAAAUCGAUCUAUGGGUCAAGUGAUAUUGGGUAAACAACUGCUCUCUCCUCCGGUUCUAAGUGGUGAUUUGGAGAUUUUCAUGUCUUGGGCGGACAAAUUAAGGCGGCUCAAGGUGCUGCGUGAGUUCAUGUUAUAUAGAUGUUUGUCCUUGCAGCAUCUGUUAGAAUUUAAAUAUGUUACAUGGACAUCUUGUAAUGUGUUAGGGUCCUGUAGAAUAAUUGGAUCACGACAAAACUAUCGAAGAUAGAUACUUUAUUUGAAUUUAACAUCGUAUCAUUAGGUCCUUGAUUGUGGUUGCGGGAUUGUAGAAUCUUUUCCUUGGAAUAGAAAAAGUGGAAGAAAACGGAUUGCCAUUA
Rhododendron vialii is the source of this 1386-nucleotide RNA transcript. It is a transcript of the gene named pyruvate, phosphate dikinase, chloroplastic-like, with no coding region annotated. The transcript has 4 exons. The record is from RefSeq and is a predicted model, not a curated record. NCBI's taxonomy places the organism in Eukaryota, Viridiplantae, Streptophyta, Magnoliopsida, Ericales, Ericaceae.